RNAcentral lists this long non-coding RNA (331 nucleotides) under Chrysolophus pictus (golden pheasant). Its description in RNAcentral is "lncRNA (ENSCPIG00010002822.1)". Lineage: Eukaryota; Metazoa; Chordata; Aves; Galliformes; Phasianidae. The record is from RNAcentral.
CAGAACCUGAGACACCCUUGCCAGACAUCACAACGCCGCCUCCACACCAGACAACAACCACCCCAAGCUCAGGUCCAUCAACACCAGAACCUGAGACACCCUUGCCAGACAUCACAACGCCGCCUCCACACCAGACAACAACCACCCCAAGCUCAGGUCCAUCAACACCAGAACCUGAGACACCCUUGCCAGACAUCACAACGCCGCCUCCACACUCACCAACUGCACCAACACCUACAGCAAUUUCAGGCCAUGCUUCCUGCAGUGCCUCUGGGGAUCCACAUUACAACACUUUUGACCACAGAGUUCAUAAUUUCAUGGGAAACUGUUC